Molecule: long non-coding RNA, 617 nt
Filed under: Homo sapiens (human)
Lineage: Eukaryota; Metazoa; Chordata; Mammalia; Primates; Hominidae
Description: HSALNT0254075
Source: RNAcentral
AGAAUCUGAGCCUUUGCCUUUUCUCCCGGCAGCAGGGAGCGGACUCUCCUCUCCCGGGCCGCCGUGGGGGUCGCGCUCACCCUCCAGCAGCUCCACGUGGCCCCAGUCCUUCCUGCGGUCUUGGUCUUGCUCCUGGGGGCUGGCGGACGAGCUCCUCCUGGGGCCGCAGACGCCACCGGCGGUCCCUGCGGGAAAGACGAGAGCGGCUGAGCGGGGCCGGGCGUGUGGGCGGGGGCCUCCAUAAAGGCAGAAGCCGAAGGGUCGAAGGGCAAAGGAGCCCUAAACGCAGCGGAAACUCUCGGAGCACGGGCUUAAGUUGGAAAGAAACUAAGACAGCGAAGGUGGAAGGGCCCCGCCGCGGCGAACACGGGCGCGGAACCGCCGAGAGAGGGUUCCUCGCACUCGAGGUGCAGCAGGUCAAAGGUUAAGAGCCCUAAACACCACACCUGGGGUCAGGAGGCUGCAUAAGAAACCACGAGUCAAAGGUCAGACUGCACGGAGGAGCCUCAGUCGAAAAGCGGGCAAGGGCGAGUGGAAAGCGGGGCCGGGUCGGUGGGCUGCGCACGCCCAGGUGCAAAGAGGCAAAGGUCAAAGCGCCAAAGGCCCCGGCCGCGCGG